AACGAACGCUGGCGGCAUGCCUAACACAUGCAAGUCGAACGAUUGCCUUCGGGUGAUAGUGGCGCACGGGUGCGUAACGCGUGGGAAUCUGCCCUUAGGUUCGGAAUAACAGCUGGAAACGGCUGCUAAUACCGGAUGAUAUCGCGAGAUCAAAGAUUUAUCGCCUGAGGAUGAGCCCGCGUUGGAUUAGGUAGUUGGUGGGGUAAAGGCCUACCAAGCCGACGAUCCAUAGCUGGUCUGAGAGGAUGAUCAGCCACACUGGGACUGAGACACGGCCCAGACUCCUACGGGAGGCAGCAGUGGGGAAUAUUGGACAGUGGGCGCAAGCCUGAUCCAGCAAUGCCGUGUGAGUGAUGAAGGCCCUAGGGUUGUAAAGCUCUUUUACCCGGGAAGAUAAUGACUGUACCGGGAGAAUAAGCCCCGGCUAACUCCGUG
RNAcentral lists this ribosomal RNA (435 nucleotides) under uncultured bacterium. RNAcentral's name for it is "partial 16S ribosomal RNA". It matches the Rfam family "Bacterial small subunit ribosomal RNA", at positions 29 to 507 of the family's 1533-position model. The record is from RNAcentral.